RNAcentral lists this long non-coding RNA (1884 nucleotides) under Homo sapiens (human). Its description in RNAcentral is "HSALNT0096784". Lineage: Eukaryota; Metazoa; Chordata; Mammalia; Primates; Hominidae. The record is from RNAcentral.
AGAAAGUGAGGCUCAGUUUAAUUUGGUAUGGGACUCUGCAAAAACCAUUUUACAUAUUAGCCAAUUCUGUAAAAUGGACCAAAUGGCUCUUCUCCACUUCCCCCGAUGUCCCCCGGACCUGUUGGUCAGGAUAUCCUUUGGAAAAUCUCUGAAGCAGACACCCAAAUCAGAGCCGAGCUUUGCCGUGACUCUCCAGAAGCUGAUGGGCCUGGUGUUUGAACUGAGCCUGUCAACAUGUGGAAAACACAGAGCUCUCUUCCCAGGAUGUAGAUCUUGUGCCAGUUGGGCCCCAUUAAAGACUGGAUCCCAUCCUGACCAUCUGGGAGCUGGAAAAGCAAGGGUCUCCCCCAGAGGUUUCUUUUGACUUCAUGCCCCGUGUCUGGGAAUGUAGCUGAAGAAAGCAUGCAUCUGGAUAAAGACAACGAGGAGAACCUGUGUGAGACUAAUUGCUUCACACACGAGGAAACUUUGGCUUCAUCCAUCUGAGCUAAGUGUGAAUGAUGACCUUCCUGCUCACAGCUCCUUAGCACUACAACCUGCCUUCUUUGAUCCUGAAACUAGCAGCUACUGGACAGGCAAGAGGACAAACAGAAGGUUUUCUUCCAGCUGGAAGACUGGACCUCUGUAUUUUCACCAUGCACAGGAGGCAAAUCUAUUCUUUGUUUAUCCAUUCUCCAACUGGAUGCUUUAGAAACCAGAAGCAAUUAGAAUGCCUGACCUGAACCAUGGUACCAGAGUAUGCAAACUUCACUUUCAGAAUGCUAACUCCAAAUAAACAAAUAAACUCAGCCAAUAAACAAACAAACAAAUUUGACAGUUUCCUCAUGCAAGGUGUAGCAGCCUUUAUAACACUUAUGCUGUUGCUUUAACUUGUGUUACUAGGGAUUUGUUUCUGCCUUACUUUAUUUUCUUCAGUAAUUGCAUUAUGCAGUUAAGCAUUUUAUUGUUUAUUAGGGUUUUUAUUUCAUUUUGUUAUUUGUCUGCAUUUAUUGUCCUGUCCACUAGCAUAUCUAGAUAAUACUUGGCAAAGAUUCAUGUAUUAUAUAUGAAAAAGAGUCGUGUGUGUGUCUGUGUGUGUGUGUGUGUGUGUGUGUGUGUGUGAUGUUUGUCACUUUAAGGAGAAAUGUAACCCAUGAUACAGAGAUCUCUCCAUACUAGAUGCAAUUAAACCUAUUAAAUAUUAAAUGAGGAGAUUGAGAAUUUCAAGUGAUUUUCAUCCUUUAUUCCAAAGUGACUUCAUUUGGCAAGAAUGCCCUUUGCUUUGACAGCAUUAAUGGCUCUCGCAGAAAAGAAGAAAAGGAAAAAUUCACAGGCACUAUUUGGAAAUGUAGCUCCAAUGUCCAUCUACAUUAAGGCAGUGUUAGCUUAGUGGUGAAUAUCUAGAUGUACCUAAACUUAGCAAAAUAGUGUCUAAGUUCCAAUUUAUGCCAUUUGCUAAUUAUAGACUAAGCCCAAAUUAUAUUCUCUUCCUAUUUUGCAGCUUUCUUAUUUUAUUCUGAAUUAGCAAAAUUUUUCAACAAUCAAUGGACAUAGCACCUGAGCAAGGGAAGGACAAAAAUGCUGGUGCAACAACUGUAAUCCAAAACAUUCCAGGGCAAGCGCUUUUGGAUUCCUGAGUUUGUCUGUCGGAGAUCUGGAACUGUGUGCAGGUUCAUUACACGGGGUUAUUUGACAAUUUAGCAGUAAGAAAUCUUGACAUUUUGAUGUACCUGUAACUUCUAAAUUGCACUUGAAAGACUUGUUGAAGGCUUUUUGAUUUAAUGACACACAACAUAGCAUUGUUUCAUAAUAUGCAAAAAUUGUUUGUUAACUACACUGCAGCUCAGAAUUUUAUAACUCAAGGUGUGACUACACUGUUUUCCACCUCAUGUUUGAUCUGCCAAA